UUAUAGGCAAAUGGUGGAUGCCUUGGGACCAGACGCGAUGAAGGACGUGGCGUAGCUGCGAUAAGCCUCGGGAAGGUGUUAGCAACCUGUGAACCGGGGAUUUCCGAAUGGGGAAACCUAAUUUCGUUUAAACGAAAUUGUCGAAGUUAAAUUCGAUGCGAACCCGCUGAAGUGAAACAUCUCAGUAGGCGGAGGAAAAGAAAACAAAAGUGAUUCCCUAAGUAGCGGCGAGCGAAAGGGGAGAAGCCCAAAAUCAUUCGCGCUUUGCGUGAAUAGUGGUUGUAAGGGGAUAACGUCUAUUCAGUUAGAGGGAGUUAUAAAUAAUUUAAUUAGCUGAACUUCUCUGGAAAGAGAGACCAAAGACGGUGAUAGUCCGGUAAGUGAAAAUUAAAUUAUGCUCCUUGUUAUCUUUCUUGAGUACUGUCGAGUCAAGACAAUUCGGCAGGAAUCUAGCGGGACUACCCGCUAAGGCUAAAUACAAUCUGGUCACCGAUAGUGAACUAGUACCGUGAGGGAAAGGUGAAAAGUAGUCCGGUGAGGACGGUGAAAUAGAACCUGAAACCAUUAUGCCUACAAGGAGUCAGAGCUGAUAUUUAUAUCAGUGAUGGCGUGCUUUUUGCAGAACGAGCCAACGAGUCUCUUUUAUCAAUUUGUCUAAGCGCUUACGGCGUGGAGGCAUAGGGAAACCAAGUCUUAAUAGGGCGAAUAUGAUUGAUGGAAGAGGACCCGAAGCCAGACGAGCUUGCCAUGACCAGGGUGAAACUUUCAGAAAUGAAAGUGGAGGCCCGAACCCGUUUGUCGUGCAAUUCAUUGGGAUGAGUUGUGGCAAGGAGUGAAAAGCUAAUCGAGUUUGGUAAUAGCUGGUUCUUCCCGAAAUAGUUUUAGGACUAGCCUCUCUGAUUAGUAUUUUGGAGGUAGAGCACUGAAAGGGUUGCUGCGGCUUCGGCUAGGCAUCUCUAUCAAACUCCGAAUGCCAAAAUAUAUACAGAGGGAGUCAGACAGUGGGAGCGAAGUUCCAUUGUCGCGAGGGAAACAGCCCAGAUCGUCAUCUAAGGUCCCUAAAUCUAAACUAAGUGUUAGUAAGGAGGUGAAAUUUCUCAGAUAGCUAGGAGGUUAGCUUAGAAGCAGCUAUCCUUUAAAAAGUGCGUAACAGCUUACUAGUUAAGAGAUUUUGCGCCGAAGAUUUCCGGGACUCAAGUUUAGUACCGAAGAUACGACUUGGUAUUUUUAAUACCAGGGGUAGGGAAGCGUUCUUAUUGCACUGAAGCUAAACCGUGAGGUUUGGUGGAGCGAUGAGAAGUGAGAAUGUUGGCAUAAGUAACCACAAUUGAAGUGAGAUUCUUCAACACCGUAAAUCCAAGGUUUCCUUGGCAAUGUAGAUCAACCAAGGGUUAGGCGGGCCUUAGGANNNNNNNNNNNNNNCUUGAGCGGAUUAUUGGAUUUCCGUCGACUAUUUAAGGGGCAACCCAAGAAUAGGAGCGUAGCUUAUCCUCGGAUAAGUUAAGUCAAGUGAGCAAGUCGACAAGAAAAGCCCGCAAGGUUAAAAAUGUUAGAUCCGUACUAAAACCGACACAGGUGGAUGGGCACAAGUGUGCCAAGGUGAACAAGUGAAAGAUCCUGAAGGAACUCGGCAAAAAAGUGAUCGUAACUUAGGAAUAAGAUCCGCCUUUCUUUGCAAAAAGAAAGGCCACAGCAAGCGUUUCUCUAGCGACUGUUUAUCAAAAACACAGGUCCCUGCUAAUUCGUAAGAGGAAGUAUAGGGGCUGAGGCCUGACCAGUGCUGGAGUGUUAAAAGUGGCGGUUGCCUCGCUCUUGUUUCAUAAAACGAUCCUGAGUUCUUGUAAGUAGUUUGAUUAGUUAAGAUAAUAAUAAUUUAAUGUGUCUUUUUAAAAUAGGUAAGAUAUAUUGCAAUAUUAAGGAACUCAGAGAUUGCGUUUGUGAAUCGAGAGCGGGGCAGCUGACUGCUCCAAGCCUCCGGUGAACGUCCGCGGUAACUCUGACCGUGUUAAAGUAGCGUAAUCCCUUGUCGGGUAAGUUCCGACCCGCAUGAAAGGCUUAACGACUGGAGAACUGUCUCCAGGAUCUGCUUGGUGAAAUCGCAAUAGAGGUGAGAAUGCCUCUUACCUGUGGCUAGACAAAAAGACCCCAGGAGCUUUACUAUAUCCUGGCAUUGAAUUUUGGUAAUAAUUGCGUAGCGUAGGAGGGAGACUUUGAAGCUAUCUUUUCGGGGAUAGUGGAGUCGCCAAUGAAACACCUCUCUUUUAAUAUCAGGGUUCUAACUUUACUAUCUGAGAAGGGUAGUAGAAGACAGUGCUUGGUUGGUAGUUUAAGUGGGGCGCUUUUCUCCUAAAAAGUAACGGAGAAGUUUAAAGGUUGGCUAGAUCCGGAUGGAAAUCGGAUUGGUCCUGUAAAGGGAUAAGCCAGCUUGACUGCAAGACGGGUAUGUCGCGCAGAUGCGAAAGCAGAACUUAGUGAACCGACCAUGGUUCGUAGGACCGUGGGAGAUCAUCAGACAAAAGUUACCCUGGGGAUAACAGGCUGGUAGUGCCCAAGAGUCCAUAUCAACGGCACUGUUCGGCACCUUAACAUAUCGGGGUGCAUUAACAGCAAUGUUAUUUAAGAAAUUGGCUUAUAACGGUGGACUCCAUAGUGAAAAUCAGCUAUAACAUAAUCAUUAUGGACAAUACCGUGGGAAGUCUAACACAAUUACAAAGAUCAUUGAUUAUCGGUUCGGUUUUAGGUGACGGGGAUAUUAGAAUUAUACCUGGUCACAAAGAUGCUUUUUUAGAAAUAAAACAUUUCCUAAAAGCAAAAGAUUAUGUAGAUUGGAAAUAUUCUGUACUAAAGAAUAUUUGCAAUUCCGAACCUAAGGAAAGAGAAACCAAUAAAGGUAGAAUGGCUUAUUGUUUUUUUACUAAACAAAAUAAAGAAAUUACA
Molecule: ribosomal RNA, 2937 nt
Filed under: Patescibacteria group bacterium UBA1357
Lineage: Bacteria
Description: bacterial LSU rRNA
Rfam family: Bacterial large subunit ribosomal RNA (bases 1-2626)
Source: RNAcentral